AUCCCUCUUCCCCUUACUUGAUACCCAGCUCUCUGUUGAGGUGGCUGACGUUGCUGUCGUACUGACUGAUUACCAGCAGGGAUGGUUACAGCAGCAGCGUGCUGGUAGUAACGAUCCCUACCGUGUCCUCCCUGGGCAUACACAGCACUCGAUUCACCCUCGUUCUUGCGCUGACCGUUCCCGAAUGGCUUCUUCGAUCCUGAUGACGGACAAUUACCUUGAAUCUUCCCCAUUUUCAGCCAACCUUCAAUUCUUUCUCCGGCCACCACAAUGUCUGCAAAGUUGGUUACCGGACAACCCACCAUUCUUUCAGCAAAAACUCCCUGCAGGGUACCCAUAAAGAGAUCAGACAUCUCUC
Molecule: long non-coding RNA, 358 nt
Filed under: Lathyrus oleraceus (garden pea)
Lineage: Eukaryota; Viridiplantae; Streptophyta; Magnoliopsida; Fabales; Fabaceae
Description: Pisum sativum (pea) long non-coding RNA (PSAT_LNC038572)
Source: RNAcentral